GACGAACGCUGGCGGCGUGCUUAACACAUGCAAGUCGAACGAUGAAGAAGAGCUUGCUCUUCGGAUUAGUGGCGAACGGGUGAGUAACACGUGACUAACCUGCCCCUUUCUCUGGGAUAACGCUCCGAAAGGAGUGCUAAUACCGGAUACUCACAUCGAGGCACAUGCCUUGAUGUGGAAAGUUUUUCGGAAAGGGAUGGAGUCGCGGCCUAUCAGCUUGUUGGUGAGGUAACGGCGCACCAAGGCGACGACGGGUAGCCGGCCUGAGAGGGGGACCGGCCACACUGGGACUGAGACACGGCCCAGACUCCUACGGGAGGCAGCAGUGGGGAAUAUUGCACAAUGGGCGAAAGCCUGAUGCAGCGACGCCGCGUGAGGGAUGAAGGUCUUCGGAUUGUAAACCUCUUUCAGUAGGGACGAAGCGAAAGUGACGGUACCUAAAGAAGAAGCACCGGCUAACUACGUGCCAGCAGCCGCCGUAA
RNAcentral lists this ribosomal RNA (482 nucleotides) under uncultured bacterium. RNAcentral's name for it is "partial 16S ribosomal RNA". It matches the Rfam family "Bacterial small subunit ribosomal RNA", at positions 28 to 523 of the family's 1533-position model. The record is from RNAcentral.